RNAcentral lists this ribosomal RNA (253 nucleotides) under uncultured bacterium. RNAcentral describes it as "partial 16S ribosomal RNA". It matches the Rfam family "Bacterial small subunit ribosomal RNA", at positions 524 to 776 of the family's 1533-position model. The record is from RNAcentral.
UACGGAGGGUGCAAGCGUUAUCCGGAUUCACUGGGUUUAAAGGGUGCGUAGGUGGCUUUGUAAGUCAGCGGUGAAAGCCUGGAGCUCAACUCCAGAAUUGCCAUUGAUACUGCAGAGCUUGAAUCAAGUUGAGGUGGAUGGAAUAUUACAUGUAGCGGUGAAAUGCUUAGAUAUGUAAUAGAACACCGAUUGCGAAGGCAGUUCACUAAGCUUGUAUUGACACUGAGGCACGAAAGCGUGGGGAUCAAACAGG